UCCGCGAAGCGGUUUGUAGGUUACUCCACCGCCUGAGCAGGGUGGCAGAAUUCCAAAGAGUCUCCUUAAUCAUGCGCUCGACUCCCUUCUGGCUCCAUCGGAGCGUGCCUCCCUGCCUUUGAUGAGCAUUGGCAGCGGGGAGUGUACGAUAAUAGGAAUCCCUAGGAGGGUUGGUAGAAUAACAGAGAAAGUCAGCUGGGCCUGGCUUUCCAGGGAAUAUCCUGGAAAGAGUGUAAGCUGCCCAAGGGAGUCUGGUAUUCAGCCUGGCAAUGCAGGGACAUGUUGCUUACAUGAUAAACAAUAGUACUUAUGGGUAGACCCAUGGGAGCCUGAGGGAUGGACACACUCUGAGGUGGUGCAGAGAAGGCAACCAAAGUUUCUUGGGCUUUCUAGAGGUCCAGAUGUCUUGAAAACCAGAAAAGAUCCAAAUUUGAAAUGAUGGAGAUGCAAAAUGCAAGGCCCUCAAGAUCACAGGAAUGGCAGAACCUGGACAUCAUCAAGGGUGCCAGACGAUGCCCAGUAACCCAGCAGUGUCUUUGAGGACUAUACAAGAAGAUACUUUGUCACUGAUGGAAGCACCUGCCUCAGGCUCACUGGAACAAAAUCUGUGGCUUCUCUUGUUUGAUCUAAUUCCCGCUGAUCUUUCUGGUGUCUUCUGGUGCUGUUUGUACACCUUUGGCUCCUUAGGAUUCAGAAUCACCCUCAACACUGGAAAGCCUACAGCUAGCGGCCACACCUCAGCAAAAGUGAAGACUACUAGUUUCUGUUGCUUGUUCAUGAGAUCUUUUUCACCUCUUUUGUGAGCAUCAAAGAGAUUGAAAUGAUUUGGACUACCUUCAUUCUCAAAAGCAAUGCACGACUGUAGCUGUGAUAGAGACUGGAGGACCACAAAGAUAUUCACUACCUGCUCUUUUAUAGAAAGUUGGCAACUCUUACUUUAGAGAAUUCACUUGGAUGGUUAACUGACUUGGUACAUGAUGAAAACCCUUUGGAGAAGCCACUCUGCCUCUGCUCUUGCUCUUGGGGUGUUCCUGAGUGAUCUUAAGCAAACGUGCUUCUUAUCAAGGAAAACUGAAGAAUGGUCAUUCCAGUUUUGAAAAGCAAAGCAAAGCUACUGAUGCCACAGGACAUUCAUAAUAAUGACAGUGACAAGACCUAAAGCCUGAGUAACCCACAAAUCUCAAGUCAGCCUUCUCAUCAUCAAAAAUCUGUAAAAUACUUCCAAUUUGAAAAUUCUGGGAAUCCAGGUUUAGCUUUUGAAACUUUGGAAAAUCCUAUAACGUCUCUGUACAAUUAACCACAAAACAGGUCUAUUUACCUCAAUAGUUUGUUGCAAGAAUCAAAUGAAUAAAUGUGAGAGUGGUUU
This 1366-nucleotide long non-coding RNA is filed under the name Equus caballus (horse). RNAcentral describes it as "lncRNA (ENSECAG00000035518.3)". The record is from RNAcentral. Lineage: Eukaryota; Metazoa; Chordata; Mammalia; Perissodactyla; Equidae.